RNAcentral lists this ribosomal RNA (253 nucleotides) under uncultured bacterium. RNAcentral describes it as "partial 16S ribosomal RNA". It matches the Rfam family "Bacterial small subunit ribosomal RNA", at positions 524 to 776 of the family's 1533-position model. The record is from RNAcentral.
UACGGAGGGUGCAAGCGUUAUCCGGAUUCACUGGGUUUAAAGGGUGCGUAGGCGGGCAGGUAAGUCCGUGGUGAAAUCUCUGAGCUUAACUCAGAAACUGCCAUGGAUACUAUUUGUCUUGAAUGUUGUGGAGGUAAGCGGAAUAUGUCAUGUAGCGGUGAAAUGCUUAGAUAUGACAUAGAACACCAAUUGCGAAGGCAGCUCACUACACAAAUAUUGACGCUGAGGCACGAAAGCGUGGGGAUCAAACAGG